RNAcentral lists this non-coding RNA (27 nucleotides) under Cricetulus griseus (Chinese hamster). Lineage: Eukaryota; Metazoa; Chordata; Mammalia; Rodentia; Cricetidae. The record is from RNAcentral.
AGGAAGCUCAUGCUGAUCCUGGCUUUG